Molecule: ribosomal RNA, 476 nt
Filed under: uncultured bacterium
Lineage: Bacteria
Description: bacterial SSU rRNA
Rfam family: Bacterial small subunit ribosomal RNA
Source: RNAcentral
ACUCCUACGGGAGGCAGCAGUAGGGAAGUCUUCCACAAUGGGCGCAAGCCUGAUGGAGCAACACCGCGUGAGUGAAGAAGGGUUUCGGCUCGUAAAGCUCUGUUGUUAAAGAAGAACACGUAUGAGAGUAACUGUUCAUACGUUGACGGUAUUUAACCAGAAAGUCACGGCUAACUACGUGCCAGCAGCCGCGGUAAUACGUAGGUGGCAAGCGUUAUCCGGAUUUAUUGGGCGUAAAGAGAGUGCAGGCGGUUUUCUAAGUCUGAUGUGAAAGCCUUCGGCUUAACCGGAGAAGUGCAUCGGAAACUGGAUAACUUGAGUGCAGAAGAGGGUAGUGGAACUCCAUGUGUAGCGGUGGAAUGCGUAGAUAUAUGGAAGAACACCGAGUGGCGAAGGCGGCUACCUGGUCUGCAACUGACGCUGAGACUCGAAAGCAUGGGUAGCGAACAGGAUUAGAUACCCCUGGUAGGAUAGCG